AAUCAAGUGCCUUAAGGGUGUUCGGUGGAUGCCUUGGCGCUGAGAGGCGAUGAAGGACGUGCUACGCUGCGAUAAGCCUGGGGAGCUGCGAAGAAGC
This 97-nucleotide ribosomal RNA is filed under the name Bradyrhizobium japonicum. Its description in RNAcentral is "partial 23S ribosomal RNA". It matches the Rfam family "Bacterial large subunit ribosomal RNA", at positions 1 to 97 of the family's 2925-position model. The record is from RNAcentral. Lineage: Bacteria; Pseudomonadati; Pseudomonadota; Alphaproteobacteria; Hyphomicrobiales; Nitrobacteraceae.